Molecule: ribosomal RNA, 468 nt
Filed under: uncultured bacterium
Lineage: Bacteria
Description: partial 16S ribosomal RNA
Rfam family: Bacterial small subunit ribosomal RNA
Source: RNAcentral
GACGAACGCUGGCGGCGUGCUUAACACAUGCAAGUCGAACGGUGAAGCUCCAGCUUGCUGGAGUGGAUCAGUGGCGAACGGGUGAGUAACACGUGAGCAACCUGCCCCUGACUCUGGAAUAAGCGCUGGAAACGGCGUCAAAUACUGGAUACGAGAAGGGUCCGCAUGGGCACUUUCUGGAAAGUUUUUCGGUUGGGGAUGGGCUCGCGGCCUAUCAGCUUGUUGGUGAGGUAAUGGCUCACCAAGGCGACGACGGGUAGCCGGCCUGAGAGGGCGACCGGCCACACUGGGACUGAGACACGGCCCAGACUCCUACGGGAGGCAGCAGUGGGGAAUAUUGCACAAUGGGCGAAAGCCUGAUGCAGCGACGCCGCGUGAGGGAUGACGGCCUUCGGGUUGUAAACCUCUUUCAGCAGGGAAGAAGCGAAAGUGACGGUACCUGCAGAAGAAGCACCGGCUAACUACGUG